UCUCUUUCUCUUUCUCCUAGCAGUGAGCUGUCUGAGUGAAUUCUCCUUGCUCAUGUGAUGGAGGGGAGGGAACACAGUCAACUGGGGUUGAACAAGAGGAAGAGUCUGUUCCCUUCGUGGACAGUAACGGAAAGAGAGGCCAGCUCAUAUACCAAGGAGGACUGGUUCAGCAUGGAGUCCCCUUAUUUUCUGCCUCUGCUUGCAUCUCUACAGAUAUUUUUCCUGUGUGGGUCACCUGCAGACCUCCCUGCACCCCCCAAACUCUCUGUGAGCCCAGAGAAAAUGGAAUAUCUCAUCGGAGACACUGUUUCCUUCCAAUGUGUGGCUCCCACUUCAAAGGACAAGAUACAGAGCUUUCAGUUCUCAGGGACAGCUGGAUGGGCUGUGGACAUUCGGACCUCCAGGAAAGCCUACACCUACACCUUCAACAUCACAGGGCCAAAGGAUGGUGGGUCACACACAUGCAGAUAUACUGUGAUAAAUCGUCUCCUUAGAUCAGUCCAGUCUAAGGAAAGCAAAGCAAUCAUCAUCAGUGUCAAAGAGCCUCCUUUCGCUCCUGAACUGCGAGUGGAUCCUUCCUCUGCUGUGGUGACUGAAGGCUACCCCUUACGUUUCACCUGCAUUGCCUUCAGGGAUGACUCAAGGCUGAGAUUUCACUUCUACAGGGAUGGGGUUGAGAUUUCACCAGGACAGGGAGGCUCAGAGAUCACUGCCAUGAACCCUGGGAAUUUCACUGAGCUCCUGUUACCGCAGACUCCAAGGAGGUUCAGUGGGAAAUUCACUUGCGGAUUUGAGGAGGAUGUGGGCGGGACGUGGGUGCCAUCACCCCAGAGCAAGGUUCUGGAGGUCACUGUGAAGGAUCCCCCUGCUCAGCCAGAGCUGAUCUUGAACCCCCCCUCUGGAGAAGUGAGGGAAGGGGACCCCUUACUUAUCACUUGUGUAGCCUAUGGCAUUAGCAGCGAAUGGAAGUUUUACUUCUAUAAAGACGGGACAGAACAAUUCUCAGAGGCUUGCACAAGGAACCAUUCUUUCUUCAGCAUCCCAGCAGCUGAACCAACUGUGACAGGGCAAUUCACCUGCAGGUACGAGGAGAGAGUCAGUGGGAAGUGGAUCCCAUCACCCCUGAGCCAAGCAAUGAUGGUCACCAUGCAAGCCUCAUCUCUACCCAUCCCAUUGGUGACUGGAUGCGCAGCUGCUGCAGCUGUUAUAGUCCUGGUGUUGCUGCUGGCUGUCUGUAUCUGCCAGAGGAGGAGAGGCCGUGUUCACUGGAAGGGGCUCCACAACAAAGAUGACACAAGUGCUUAUCCUCUGGCCCUGGUCAGUUAAACUGGUAUUUGAUCUCAGGAGUGCCUGGCACAUAUCUUUGCUCAAAAAAUGCACUCAUUUUCAGCCUCUUCUCCACCUCAGUGGAGCAAAAAAGAAGACAAAAGGAAAGAAAAGGAUUGUUUCUAUUCUUCUUUGCUUUGAACAUUGAAGCCAGAGUUCACUUUGUAAAUGCCCCUGUCCAGCUGGUCAGUAAAUCUCUCUUCAAGUCCACCAAUGUUUCUUUCUCUCAUUCCCUUCCGCCAUCUUUCUCAGCCUGAUAGA
Molecule: long non-coding RNA, 1587 nt
Organism: Dromaius novaehollandiae (emu)
Lineage: Eukaryota; Metazoa; Chordata; Aves; Casuariiformes; Dromaiidae
Product: Fc receptor-like protein 4
Source: Ensembl